This 395-nucleotide ribosomal RNA is filed under the name uncultured bacterium. RNAcentral describes it as "bacterial SSU rRNA". It matches the Rfam family "Bacterial small subunit ribosomal RNA", at positions 505 to 898 of the family's 1533-position model. The record is from RNAcentral.
GUGCCAGCAGCCGCGGUAAUACGUAGGAGGCGAGCGUUAUCCGGAUUUAUUGGGCGUAAAGUGGGCGUAGGUGGUCUUUCAAGUCAGAUGUGAAAUCUCCCGGCUUAACUGGGAGGGGUCAUCUGAUACUGUUGGACUUGAGUACAGCAGGGGAAAAUGGAAUUCCCGGUGUAGUGGUGAAAUGCGUAGAUAUCGGGAGGAACACCAGAGGCGAAGGCGAUUUUCCAGGCUGAAACUGACACUGAGGCCCGAAAGCGUGGGGAGCGAACAGGAUUAGAUACCCUGGUAGUCCACGCCUUAAACUAUGGGUACUAGGUAUAGGGAGUAUCGACCCUUUCUGUGCCGAAGCUAACGCUUUAAGUACCCCGCCUGGGGAGUACGGUCGCAAGACUAAA